AUUGAACGCUGGCGGCAGGCCUAACACAUGCAAGUCGAGCGGAUGAAGGGAGCUUGCUCCUGGAUUCAGCGGCGGACGGGUGAGUAAUGCCUAGGAAUCUGCCUGGUAGUGGGGGAUAACGUCCGGAAACGGGCGCUAAUACCGCAUACGUCCUGAGGGAGAAAGUGGGGGAUCUUCGGACCUCACGCUAUCAGAUGAGCCUAGGUCGGAUUAGCUAGCUGGUGGGGUAAAGGCCUACCAAGGCGACGAUCCGUAACUGGUCUGAGAGGAUGAUCAGUCACACUGGAACUGAGACACGGUCCAGACUCCUACGGGAGGGAGCAGUGGGGAAUAUUGGACAAUGGGCGAAAGCCUGAUCCAGCCAUGCCGCGUGUGUGAAGAAGGUCUUCGGAUUGUAAAGCACUUUAAGUUGGGAGGAAGGGCAGUAAGUUAAUACCUUGCUGUUUUGACGUUACCAACAGAAUAAGCACCGGCUAACUUCGUG
Molecule: ribosomal RNA, 484 nt
Filed under: uncultured bacterium
Lineage: Bacteria
Description: partial 16S ribosomal RNA
Rfam family: Bacterial small subunit ribosomal RNA
Source: RNAcentral